RNAcentral lists this ribosomal RNA (254 nucleotides) under uncultured bacterium. RNAcentral's name for it is "partial 16S ribosomal RNA". It matches the Rfam family "Bacterial small subunit ribosomal RNA", at positions 524 to 776 of the family's 1533-position model. The record is from RNAcentral.
UACGUAGGGACCGAGCGUUGUCCGGAAUCAUUGGGCGUAAAGAGCGUGUAGGCGGCUCGCUAAGUCUUGCGUGAAAUCUCGGGGCUCAACCCCGAGCGGUCGUGAGAAACUGGCGGGCUAGAGUGCGGGAGAGGAGAGUGGAAUUCCUGGUGUAGCGGUGAAAUGCGCAGAUAUCAGGAAGAACACCCGUGGCGAAAGCGGCUCUCUGGAACGGUACUGACGCUGAGACGCGAAAAGCGUGGGGAGCGAACAGG